This is a long non-coding RNA of Oncorhynchus keta (chum salmon), 1409 nucleotides long. RefSeq lists it as uncharacterized. Lineage: Eukaryota; Metazoa; Chordata; Actinopteri; Salmoniformes; Salmonidae. The record is from RefSeq and is a predicted model, not a curated record. The transcript is spliced from 6 exons.
UGUCUCAACCUCCAGACGGGACAGAUGUGGCCUAGUGGCUGGAGAGGACAGGAGAUACGUCAGUAACCUUCAUAAAGGUCUGUGUUCUCUCCAUAUUCUCCUGUCUCAACCUCCAGACGGGACAGAUGUGGCCUAGUGGCUGGAGAGGACAGGAGAUACGUCAGUAACCUUCAUAAAGGUCUGUGUUCUCUCCAUAUUCUCCUGUCUCAACCUCCAGAUGGGACAGAUGUGGCCUAGUGGCUGGAGAGGACAGGAGAUACGUCAGUAACCUUCAUAAAGGUCUGUGUUCUCUCCAUAUUCUCCUGUCUAAACCUCCAGACGGGACAGAUGUGGCCUAGUGGCUGGAGAGGACAGGAGAUACGUCAGUAACCUUCAUAAAGGUCUGUGUUCUCUCCAUAUUCUCCUGUCUAAACCUCCAGACGGGACAGAUGUGGCCUAGUGGCUGGAGAGGACAGGAGAUACGUCAGUAACCUUCAUAAAGGUCUGUGUUCUCUCCAUAUUCUCCUGUCUCAACCUCCAGACGGGACAGAUGUGGCCUAGUGGCUGGAGAGGACAGGAGAUACGUCAGUAACCUUCAUAAAGGUCUGUGUUCUCUCCAUAUUCUCCUGUCUAAACCUCCAGACGGGACAGAUGUGGCCUAGUGGCUGGAGAGGACAGGAGAUACGUCAGUAACCUUCAUAAAGGUCUGUGUUCUCUCCAUAUUCUCCUGUCUAAACCUCCAGACGGGACAGAUGUGGCCUAGUGGCUGGAGAGGACAGGAGAUACGUCAGUAACCUUCAUAAAGGUCUGUGUUCUCUCCAUAUUCUCCUGUCUCAACCUCCAGACGGGACAGAUGUGGCCUAGUGGCUGGAGAGGACAGGAGACACGUCAGUAACCUUCAUAAAGGUCUGUGUUCUCUCCAUAUUCUCCUGUCUCAACCUCCAGACGGGACAGAUGUGGCCUAGUGGCUGGAGAGGACAGGAGAUACGUCAGUAACCUUCAUAAAGGUCUGUGUUCUCUCCAUAUUCUCCUGUCUCAACCUCCAGAUGGGACAGAUGUGGCCUAGUGGCUGGAGAGGACAGGAGAUACGUCAGUAACCUUCAUAAAGGUCUGUGUUCUCUCCAUAUUCUCCUGUCUCAACCUCCAGAUGGGACAGAUGUGGCCUAGUGGCUGGAGAGGACAGGAGAUACGUCAGUAACCUUCAUAAAGGUCUGUGUUCUCUCCAUAUUCUCCUGUCUAAACCUCCAGACGGGACAGAUGUGGCCUAGUGGCUGGAGAGGACAGGAGAUACGUCAGUAACCUUCAUAAAGGUCUGUGUUCUCUCCAUAUUCUCCUGUCUAAACCUCCAGACGGGACAGAUGUGGCCUAGUGGCUGGAGAGGACAGGAGAUACGUCAGUAACCUUCAUAAAGGUCUGUGUUCUCUCCAUAU